Molecule: long non-coding RNA, 307 nt
Organism: Saccostrea echinata
Lineage: Eukaryota; Metazoa; Mollusca; Bivalvia; Ostreida; Ostreidae
Exons: 3
Source: RefSeq, a predicted model, not a curated record
AUUCAGGGCACUUGCAAUGUAUGGGAACCAGUCUACAAGGCCACAAAAUUCCGCCAAGAAUAAACAAAGAAAUUGCGGGAUGUUGUUUACGUGUGUCACUCGACACUGACUGCAAGAAACAAAGAGUGGAGAGCUAAUGCAUGGUGCUAAGUAUGGAAAUGUCUCUUGUGGAUUGGUUGUGCCAGAGACAAAUGUACAUUAUUUCUAUGUUGGGUCAGAAGUCUCGGUACACUUUGGGUGAGUGGCAGUUGGGAAGAUGGAAGACCUUCAGAUAGUUUGAGAUGAAGAAGUUUUUUUAAAUGAUUGA